CAAGCGUGGUUAGGCUUCCAACCCAUCACAACCUGUCAUAGUAUGAUUUUGAAUACGAAUAUCAAUAUAACUUUCAACAACGGAUCUCUUGGCUCUCGCAUCGAUGAAGAACGCAGCGAAAUGCGAUAAGUAAUGUGAGUUGCAGAAUUCAGUGAAUCAUCGAAUCUUUGAACGCACCUUGCGCUCCUUGGCAUUCCGAGGAGCAUGCCUGUUUGAGUGUCGUUGAACUUCUCAGAACCCCCUGUCAAAGUGGGCUUUGGAUUGGUGGAGGAUGCACUGCUGCCCCGAUCUUGGGGGCUCCUCUUUGCUUCUCUGAAAUGGAUGGGUUGUGGCCACGAGCUGGUCGUCGGUAUGAUACGUCUUACCUGCUUCCAAUCCGUGCCAGCCAGACAUGACCGCAAGGUCUCAGGAAUUUGACCUCAAAUCAGGCAGGACUACCCGCUGAACUUAAGCAUAUCAAUAAGCGGAGGA
This 471-nucleotide ribosomal RNA is filed under the name uncultured Basidiomycota. RNAcentral describes it as "eukaryotic LSU rRNA". The stretch from base 69 to 222 matches the Rfam family "5.8S ribosomal RNA". Lineage: Eukaryota; Fungi; Basidiomycota. The record is from RNAcentral.